This is a long non-coding RNA of Cyprinus carpio carpio, 1577 nucleotides long. The record is from Ensembl. Lineage: Eukaryota; Metazoa; Chordata; Actinopteri; Cypriniformes; Cyprinidae.
AAGAGCACUGAGAUAAAUGACGGCCUGUUAAAUUUAUAUUAAAAGUCUUCUGUGUCCUUCUGUAGGAGUGUAAGUGUUUGGUGAGUGACGUGACAUUCAGCCAAGUAUGGUGACCCAUACUCAGAAUUAGUGCUCUGCAUUUAACCCAUCCGAAGUGCACACACACAGAGCAGUGAACACACACACACACUGUGAACACACACCCGGAGCAGUGGGCAGCCAUUUUAUGCUGCGGCGCCCGGGGAGCAGUUGGGGGUUCGAUGCCUUGCUCAAGGGCACCUAAGUCGUGGUAUUGAAGGUGGUGAGAGCAACUUGAGGCCACGGUCAGCUUUGUUUCAGUAUUAGAUACAGCAUGGGCACCAGUUCUGACUCAACUAUUUUGUUUUGUUGUAAUUUGUUCCACUGUUAACCAUAAUCCUCGUGUGGACAGAGAGUGAGUCUGUGUGAGCUGCUGCUUCUCUGUCAGUGAGUUACUAAUCAAAGACUGCUCACAUCUCACACACCAGUGCUGUUGAGUAGGAUUUAUAUAAUGCUCUAAGAUUUAUUUAUACUUGUAUUAAUACUAUUAAUACCUUUUAUUUUUAUAUUUCAGUUUUCUUUUUAAUGUUUUUUUUUCUUUAUAUAUAUUUAUAUGGCUUUACUUGAUUUUUAUUUCAGUUUAUUUUAGUAAAUUUUGUACUUAAGCCUAUUUCAUUUAGUUUUUUUAAAAAAAUGUUUUUUUAUUUAUUUAUUUUUUUUGGCUGUCAUUGGAGAAAGAAACUUUUUGCAUUCAGGUGGUUUAGUUUCAGGACCAUGCUAACCAGCCAAACCUUCAUCACUUGUAUGGACAGACACAGGCUAUACGAAUACCAACUGUUUGUAAUUGGAUAAAUGCAAAAACGGCAGCAAAUGCUGUUUCUAAUGGCAAAACCUAGAUGUCUGCAAAUAUGGCCAGAAGCUGACACUGCCUGCUUGUGCUGAACCGUACUGGGUAAGUUUUGCUUCAUUGCCUCCUCUUAUGAUUUGAUAACUUUUUUGGGUGGCUAUAAUGCUGGCUUUGCACUUAAUGAGAGAACUGUGACCCUCUAUGGAACUGGACAAUUGGGUAAAAGAACUGCUGCAACAAGCAUUUAUGCAAGGCCACAAUUUAAGUAACAGUUGAUUCUUGCAUUUAGGGAGAAGAAAUCAGCAAAUUAGUUGAGAAUUUUGGUGUUAAUUGAAUCAAAAGAAAUUUACGGUAGAUGAGCAAUCAGUGUUGUAUUGAGUGUUGUAUCAACAAAUGCAAUCUUCAUAUGAAAACGUGGGGUAUAUACGGUGCAUAUAUAAUGGUGUCUUAAAUUCUGAGACCUCUAGAUAAUAUAUUAGAAUAUAGUGAAAAUAUUAGCCUGACAGUCAGAGUGGAAAGCUGAACUGAAACUAUUUAUAUAGUAUUUAUGCACUAUCAUAGUUUUUUUUUUUUUAAAGAAAUUCAUAUUUUUAUUCAGAAGGAUGCAUUAAAUUGAUUGCAAGCGACAGUACAGAUUUCAACUUCACUGUUUUCAACUGUAAUAUUAAGAUAUAUUUCAUGACCAACAAAGCAGCUUAAUAAAAGAUUUCUA